UGGACAUGUGGAGGCCGACAGGAAGGUGAAGAAGUCAUCUGCGUGCUGUGAGGGUGGCGCACCCCAACUCCAUGGGGACAGAAGGUCCUGCAUUUAGGACCCUUCCAGACCUCACACCUAUGUAUCUCUUCAUCUGGCUGAUUACUUAUAUCCUUUCAAAGACGCUUCUUAGUAAACUGGACCACCUGAUAGGGUACUGAGGAUGGCUUCUGACCUGGAGGCAUCAAGGACCUGAAGGCAGUAACCAUUUCAGAGGACAGCCACAUCCCUCAAAUUACAAACAUCUAAAAUGUCCAUUAACUGUUGAGUGGAUAUAUAAAUUCUGAUGUUUUAUAAAAUGGCAUACCCUACAUCAAUGAAGAUGAAUGAAUUACUUCUGCAUAAAACAAUAUACAUGCAUCUAACCAAUAUGACACUGAGUGAAAAAAGACAUCCAUAGAAGAGCACAGCUCACCAUUCAGGAGAGAAGAAAUUCAAAUGAAAAUGUUAUGAAAAUAUCCAAAGACUAAAAAUCCACUGCUAUCACUGAAUCUAGGAUGAAUGCUUUUUGGAGCUAUCAAUUUGUGAAAAUUGUAAGAUAACUUAUUUUAUUAAAGAUCAUUUUUAAAUCAAGGGUAAGGCUUUCUGUGGGGCCAAUUUCAUCAAUAAAAUUAGAAAAAAGUGAUGAGCAAAC
This 673-nucleotide long non-coding RNA is filed under the name Homo sapiens (human). RNAcentral describes it as "HSALNT0325090". The record is from RNAcentral. Lineage: Eukaryota; Metazoa; Chordata; Mammalia; Primates; Hominidae.